RNAcentral lists this ribosomal RNA (520 nucleotides) under uncultured bacterium. RNAcentral's name for it is "bacterial SSU rRNA". It matches the Rfam family "Bacterial small subunit ribosomal RNA", at positions 63 to 507 of the family's 1533-position model. The record is from RNAcentral.
CGAACGGUUGAGAGGUGGGAGUUGAGAGGUUAGAAGUGGGAAAAGAAAAAGUCUCACAUCCAACUUCUCACAUCUCACUUCUCAAUAGUGGCGGACGGGUGAGUAACGCGUGGGUAACCUGCCCUUAACACCGGGACAACAGCGGGAAACUGCUGCUAAUACCGGAUAAUCUCAAGAGAAGGCAUCUUCUUUUGAGGAAAGGUGGCCUCUGAAUAUGCUACCGAUUAAGGAUGGACCCGCGUCUGAUUAGCUAGUUGGUAGGGUAGCGGCCUACCAAGGCGACGAUCAGUAGCCGGCCUGAGAGGGUGACCGGCCACACUGGGACUGAGACACGGCCCAGACUCCUACGGGAGGCAGCAGUGGGGAAUCUUCCGCAAUGGGCGAAAGUCUGACGGAGCAACGCCGCGUGAGUGAAGAAGGUUUUCGGAUCGUAAAACUCUGUUGUCAGAGAAGAACAAGUUGGAGAGUAACUGCUCCAGCCUUGACGGUAUCUGACCAGAAAGCCACGGCUAACUACGUG